UAGGGAAUCUUCCACAAUGGACGCAAGUCUGAUGGAGCAACGCCGCGUGAGUGAAGAAGGUUUUCGGAUCGUAAAGCUCUGUUGUUGGUGAAGAAGGAUAGAGGCAGUAACUGGUCUUUAUUUGACGGUAAUCAACCAGAAAGUCACGGCUAACUACGUGCCAGCAGCCGCGGUAAUACGUAGGUGGCAAGCGUUGUCCGGAUUUAUUGGGCGUAAAGCGAGCGCAGGCGGAAUGAUAAGUCUGAUGUGAAAGCCCACGGCUCAACCGUGGAACUGCAUCGGAAACUGUCAUUCUUGAGUGCAGAAGAGGAGAGUGGAACUCCAUGUGUAGCGGUGGAAUGCGUAGAUAUAUGGAAGAACACCAGUGGCGAAGGCGGCUCUCUGGUCUGCAACUGACGCUGAGGCUCGAAAGCAUGGGUAGCGAACAGGAUUAGAUACCCUGGUAGUCCAUGCCGUAAACGAUGAGCGCUAGGUGUUGGGGACUUUCCGGUUCUCAGUGCCGCAGCAAACGCAUUAAGCGCU
This 522-nucleotide ribosomal RNA is filed under the name uncultured bacterium. RNAcentral describes it as "partial 16S ribosomal RNA". It matches the Rfam family "Bacterial small subunit ribosomal RNA", at positions 355 to 868 of the family's 1533-position model. The record is from RNAcentral.